UGGGGAAUAUUGGACAAUGGGGGCAACCCUGAUCCAGCAUGCCGCGUGAGUGAAGAAGGCCCUCGGGUUGUAAAGCUCUUUUGUCCGGAAAGAAAAGCAUUCGGUGAAUACCCGGAUGUUCUGACGGUACCGGAAGAAUAAGCACCGGCUAACUUCGUGCCAGCAGCCGCGGUAAUACGAAGGGUGCAAGCGUUACUCGGAAUUACUGGGCGUAAAGCGUGCGUAGGUGGUUGUUUAAGUCUGAUGUGAAAGCCCUGGGCUCAACCUGGGAAUGGCAUUGGAAACUGGGCAGCUAGAGUGCGGUAGAGGGUAGUGGAAUUCCCGGUGUAGCAGUGAAAUGCGUAGAGAUCGGGAGGAACAUCUGUGGCGAAGGCGACUGCCUGGACCAGCACUGACACUGAGGCACGAAAGCGUGGGGAGCAAACA
RNAcentral lists this ribosomal RNA (426 nucleotides) under uncultured bacterium. RNAcentral describes it as "bacterial SSU rRNA". It matches the Rfam family "Bacterial small subunit ribosomal RNA", at positions 355 to 774 of the family's 1533-position model. The record is from RNAcentral.